UUGGGAACAUCCAACAAUGAACCAGAACAUGCCCUCCAUAUUUCCCUACACAGAGCAUUAUCACCUGGAAAAAAAAAUCACCCACCCACCUCACUAGAAAAAUGAAACUAAGAAAAUAAUCAAAUAAAUCAAGAAUUUGUAAGGAAAAUUCAAUGACCUUCAAAAUGUUUUAGCUGUGAAUUAGACCCCAGUAAAUCGACCAUAACUGAAGCAAUGCAACAACUUGCUAGUUCUCAAUUUUAUUAAGAAUACCCAUCUAUUUCUUGAUAGCAAAAGAAAAAAAAAGAAGAUAAGAAAGGCAAUCUUUUUAGGCUAGAAUUUAUCUGAACAAAAUGCAAACUUUUUGGUUAAAGGUUUACUAGAACAAAAUGCUUUUG
This 377-nucleotide long non-coding RNA is filed under the name Nicotiana tabacum (common tobacco). RNAcentral's name for it is "long non-coding RNA (NTAB_LNC017871)". The record is from RNAcentral. Lineage: Eukaryota; Viridiplantae; Streptophyta; Magnoliopsida; Solanales; Solanaceae.